This 782-nucleotide long non-coding RNA is filed under the name Numida meleagris (helmeted guineafowl). RNAcentral describes it as "lncRNA (ENSNMEG00000015556.1)". Lineage: Eukaryota; Metazoa; Chordata; Aves; Galliformes; Numididae. The record is from RNAcentral.
CAUUACUCUUCUCACUGUAGCAAUUAGUUUGUGUUUGCUCAGUAUAGGAUCCUAUUGCCAUAGUCUUGCAAGUUUCAGUCGCACAGAUUCUGACAGCAGCAUCCUAAAUUAACUGUUUCUGAUCAUCUUAUGCAGACUACAAACCUGUGAAUGUUGAGGAUGAUGUUGAAGCAGUGAUUAUUGACAAUUCUGAAAUACAAGAUGGAGAAAAUGGUCUGUCCACACGAAGCUGCAUGUCAAUGGAACAAAAUUUUGAAGUAAACAGUAAUGUUCACCAUGUGGCUCAACUUACAUAUGGUAAUUGCGCUUCAUUUUCGUUGGUGAUCUAAUAGUUUGUAGCUAAUUUUAAUGCUGUAUUUUCAGUGCUUUUGUUGUUAUUGUGUCUUUGUUGAGUAACCCAUCUUUAAAACGUGUUUUAUUUGAAAGCUGCUUCAUAAAAAUUGUUUGGCAAUGCAUUUAAAAAUAAGAGGCCUUUAAAGUUAUUACUUCAGAGAUCCUUAUUAACAGCUAUCCCACUGAAAUAUUUCUCUGUUUAAAGAAAGACUUUCUGCUGUGUACCAAGGAAUGAAUUAGCUAAUGAUUAGCACUUAGGGAUUUGGAAAGCAAGUGACAGGGAAAAACGUAAUGUAGAAUAUGAGGCUUCUAGGUUAACAGUCAAGAGAAGCAUUGCUGAUACUUAUGUACAGUGGUAGUGAGAUGAUUAUUCAGAGUGGUAAAAUACUAGCUCUGAGUAGCCUUUGAUUUUUUUUUUUAAUUAAUUGUUGUUAUUUUAGCAUCUAAAA